Molecule: ribosomal RNA, 775 nt
Filed under: uncultured Neocallimastigales
Lineage: Eukaryota; Fungi; Neocallimastigomycota; Neocallimastigomycetes; Neocallimastigales
Description: partial large subunit ribosomal RNA
Rfam family: Eukaryotic large subunit ribosomal RNA
Source: RNAcentral
GAGAGAGAGACAUGCGCGCAUAUCAAUAAGCGGAGGAAAAGAAACUAACAAGGAUUCCCCUAGUAACGGCGAGUGAAGCGGGAAGAGCUCAAAUUUGAAAUCUUAAAGGGUUUCCCUUUACGAAUUGUAGUUUAAAGAAGUGUUUUCUGUUGAGGUUUUGGUAAAAGUUCUUUGGAAUAGGACAUCAUAGAGGGUGAGAAUCCCGUAUUUGACCUUUACUUUCAACUUUGUGAUACACUUUCAAAGAGUCGGAUUGUUUGGGAAUGCAGUCCAAAAUGGGUGGUAAAUUUCAUCUAAAGCUAAAUAUUGGCGAGAGACCGAUAGCGAACAAGUACCGUGAGGGAAAGAUGGAAAGAACUUUGAAAAGAGAGUUAAACAGUACGUGAAAUUGUCAAAAGGGAAGCGUUUGACACCAGUGUUGUUCUUCUGAAAAUCAAUUAAAGAACUGUUUAUGCUAAGUUGUUUAGACUUUAUCAGCUAACUGUUUAGUUUUGAGCUUUUCUUUAAUGCACUUUUCAGUUAACAAGUCAACAUCAAUUUCUUUUGCUGUAAAAAAGCUUGAGGAAGGUGGCUUGAGAUUCGUCUUAAGUGUUUAUAGCCUCUUGCCUAUGCAGUCGGAGAGAUUGAGGUCUGCAGCGUAGAUCCUUCGGGGCUAAAUGCAUUUGUGCUAAGUUAUAGCAUUUUAUAGACAACUUGUUGACUAUGAUUUGUCUUGUAGCUUACUCGCUUAUGUUAUUUUACCUACGCUUAGGAUGUUGAGCGCAUGUCUCUCUCU